GACGAACGCUGGCGGCGUGCUUAACACAUGCAAGUCGAACGGAAAGGCCCUGCUUUUGUGGGGUGCUCGAGUGGCGAACGGGUGAGUAACACGUGAGUAACCUGCCCUUGACUUUGGGAUAACUUCAGGGAACUGGGGCUAAUACCGGAUAGGAGCUCCUGCUGCAUGGUGGGGGUUGGAAAGUUUCGGCGGUUGGGGAUGGGCUCGCGGCUUAUCAGCUUGUUGGUGGGGUAGUGGCUUACCAAGGCUUUGACGGGUAGCCGGCCUGAGAGGGUGACCGGCCACGUUGGGACUGAGAUACGGCCCAGACUCCUACGGGAGGCAGCAGUGGGGAAUAUUGCACAAUGGGCGGAAGCCUGAUGCAGCAACGCCGCGUGCGGGAUGACGGCCUUCGGGUUGUAAACCGCUUUCGCCUGUGACGAAGCGUGAGUGACGGUAAUGGGUAAAGAAGCACCGGCUAACUACGUG
RNAcentral lists this ribosomal RNA (468 nucleotides) under uncultured bacterium. Its description in RNAcentral is "partial 16S ribosomal RNA". It matches the Rfam family "Bacterial small subunit ribosomal RNA", at positions 28 to 507 of the family's 1533-position model. The record is from RNAcentral.